GGAAAAUAUUUCCAUUAACCUCUAAGCAGCCAUCCAGCCAGUGUUGAGAGAAACUUCGCGUGGGAAUUUUUUAAUUCUCUUGAAUGAAGAAAAAUAAGAGGUUGCGGCAGGGUAGCCCAUAGUUUGAGAAGAACUGGCAUGAGCAUUUCGUCAAAUCAGUUGAUAUCCGGUAAGCGUAGUUCCUUGAUUGGAUAUUAUACACAUCAUCUUCCUUGAUGUAGCUGUAGAUUUUCUUCUUUUGAACUAGCUCAAUUUGUUCAUUGUCAAGGCUUCUGGCGAAAGGGGUUAUUGAUUUUCUAUAUUUGUCAAAGAGCGGGUUCGUUUUCUUGUGCGUAAAAUGCAUUUCCCUUAUUCACUGCUUCAAUUUUCUCUCAGUCAGCCUUAAUUUUAUGUUGCCCAGAAGGUGGCGUAUGACUAGAUCAAGUCUCUUUGUUUUUAGAAAUAUCACCUUGAUGAAUUAUACCUUUCUAAACGAUUGGUUGUAUUGUUUCCUAAAGUUGGCAAGUGGCGACGCCCAAAGCUCGUCCAUUUUGAUUCGAUGUUGAACCAAUUUAGCUGGAAGUACGAAGAAAGACUUCCCUCUCCCUCGCCUUAUUUUGAUAGACUAUUAUAGCAUUUUAGGCUUCCUCCGUCUCAGCAUACAGAGCGUUGCAAAAAUGCUCCCGUAUUUCAUCCUUGUAUUGUUGAGUAAGGUCCUAUCCAUCAACCUUUUUGUUCAGGCGAUCGCCAACAGAUUUGAUGAUAUGAAAAUGGCAAAGAAUGUUUUCCGCUUUUGGAAAAUACUGUUCCAUAGGUGCGAUCUCAGAGCAGUCCUUAUCAGUAAUGGUGACUUUAGUGAUGCUCACGUCGUUAGUCUGAAAUCGGAGAGAGCACCUUUUGUUUCGGUCUUGGUGAAAUAUUGCGCGACAGGCUGGCUUUCGCCAUUAUUAUCUUCACACAUCAAAUGGUAAAGUGAGAAACCCACAUUGUU
Long non-coding RNA from Daphnia pulex (common water flea), 970 nucleotides. RefSeq lists it as uncharacterized. NCBI's taxonomy places the organism in Eukaryota, Metazoa, Arthropoda, Branchiopoda, Diplostraca, Daphniidae. The record is from RefSeq and is a predicted model, not a curated record. The transcript has 4 exons.